RNAcentral lists this ribosomal RNA (246 nucleotides) under uncultured Gardnerella sp. Its description in RNAcentral is "partial 16S ribosomal RNA". It matches the Rfam family "Bacterial small subunit ribosomal RNA", at positions 109 to 354 of the family's 1533-position model. Lineage: Bacteria; Bacillati; Actinomycetota; Actinomycetes; Bifidobacteriales; Bifidobacteriaceae. The record is from RNAcentral.
AGUAAUGCGUGACCAACCUGCCCCAUGCUCCAGAAUAGCUCUUGGAAACGGGUGGUAAUGCUGGAUGCUCCAACUUGACGCAUGUCUUGUUGGAAAGUGUUUAGUGGCNAUGGGAUGGGGUCGCGUCCUAUCAGCUUGUAGGCGGGGUAAUGGCCCACCUAGGCUUCGACGGGUAGCCGGCCUGAGAGGGCGGACGGCCACAUUGGGACUGAGAUACGGCCCAGACUCCUACGGGAGGCAGCAGAU